This 581-nucleotide ribosomal RNA is filed under the name Auxenochlorella sp. I-7. RNAcentral's name for it is "eukaryotic LSU rRNA". It matches the Rfam family "Eukaryotic large subunit ribosomal RNA", at positions 62 to 647 of the family's 3401-position model. The record is from RNAcentral. Lineage: Eukaryota; Viridiplantae; Chlorophyta; Trebouxiophyceae; Chlorellales; Chlorellaceae.
AAACUAACCAGGAUUCCCCUAGUAACGGCGAGCGAACCGGGAAGAGCCCAACGUGAGAAUCUCCAGCUUUCAGCUGGCGAAUUGUAGUCUAUAGAAGCCGUCUUUGUGUCGCCUCGGGUCCAAGUUCCCUGGAAAGGGACGUCGGAGAGGGUGAGAACCCCGUGGGCCCCGAGUGUCGUCACCCCACGAGACGCUCUCGCAGAGUCGGGUUGUUUGGGAAUGCAGCCCCAAGCAGGUGGUAAAUCCCAUCUAAGGCUAAAUAUCGACGGGAGACCGAUAGCGAACAAGUACCGCGAGGGAAAGAUGAAAAGAACUUUGAAAAGAGAGUCAAAAAGUGCUUGAAAUUGUUGAGAGGGAAGCGAUUGGAAGCCGCGGGUGGGCCCUGGUGCUGGUGUCCGGCGCGAGCCGGGCGCUGCCCACGCAGGGCCCUGGUCAGCAUGGGUUGGGCGGGAGGGAAAACCCCUGGGCUCGACCCCCAGGCCACGCCUCCUGCCCGACCGAGGAAUCAAGGGCGCCGCCGCUCCGGCGGUGGUUUUCCGAACACUGCGCCCUGAGGAUGCUGGCAGAAGGUGUCUAAUCGG